Molecule: long non-coding RNA, 892 nt
Organism: Lates calcarifer (barramundi perch)
Lineage: Eukaryota; Metazoa; Chordata; Actinopteri; Centropomidae
Exons: 4
Source: RefSeq, a predicted model, not a curated record
UGCGCCCCUCCCACCUCCUGGGAGCGCAGGAAUGCGGAACAGAUUUAAACCAAGUUUGAACCAUUGCUUCUGUUUGCUCGUAGUGUAAGGAAACGUCUUUACCGAAGAGGUCUGGAUGCUAAAACAAACCCUGGAUCAGCGUUUUUGUCGAACACGAGUGAGACUGGACGCUGAACACACCUACGGCGCGAAGGUUUACUGGUUCAGCUGCUAGUCUGGACAGAAAUACCACCUCUCACCCGACAAACCAAACAGGUGUCACCUCUUCUUCCAUGAUCAGAGUCUUCAUACAAUGAAGUUAUUCUUUGAGACCAGGACUGAGGCCUUCAGGUGUCAGUACUUCAUCCACAUUGUCCAUAAUCUCAUUGUCUACAAUCACAGAGAUAGUCCACCAUUGCAGAGAUGUUGUUCACGGUCACAGAGAGUCUUCAUACAAUGAAGAAGUUUUUUGAGACCAGGACCAAGGCCUCCAGGUACUUUACAAAGAGCAUUACAUCAGCUGUCCAACACAGAACACUGACAUUAAAUUGUUUAUGUUCAGUACAAGUGCAGCAUUUUUUUGACUGGUUUUGACACCCUAUGUGCUAUGACAUUUAUUGACCAUUUUUGCCCCCUUACUAUACUAUGACAUUUUAUGACAUUUUUUGACCUACACAGUGUUUGUGGGUUAAGUUAGAUUUUGUGUUUGUCAUUUCAUUUUGGUAUUUUGUUUUUUUCAAUAUCAGUACUUAAAUCCAAUAUAUUACUUUGUACAUUGUCCUGUAUAUACUAUUCAUAUUGUUUAUAAUAUUUAUAUUGUUAUGUAUAUUAUUUUGUAUCUUUUCUCGUUUAUGUAUCUAUUUUAGCUGCUGCAACACUGAAUUUACUCAAAUAAAUACUUCUGAACACUGAA